AGCGAACGCUGGCGGCAGGCUUAACACAUGCAAGUCGAGCGGGCAUCCUUGUGGUGUCAGCGGCAGACGGGUGAGUAACGCGUGGGAACGUGCCCUUCGGUUCGGCAUAACUCAGGGAAACUUGAGCUAAUACCGGAUACGUGCGCGAGCAGAAAGGUUUAUCUGCGGGGGGAUCGGCUCGCGUCUGAUUAGCUAGUUGGUGAGGUUAGGGCUCACCAAGGCGGCGAUCGGUAGCUGGUCUGCGAGGGUGCGCGGACACACUGGGAGUGAGACACGGCCCAGACUGGUACGGGAGGCAGCAGUGGGGAAUGGGGAACAAGGGGCGGAAGCAUGAUGCAGCAACGCCGGGUGCGGGAUGACGGACGUCGGGUUGUAAAACGCUUUCGCCUGGGAAGAAGCGUGAGUGACGGUAAUGGGUAAAGAAGCACGGGCUAGCUACGUG
This 442-nucleotide ribosomal RNA is filed under the name uncultured bacterium. RNAcentral's name for it is "partial 16S ribosomal RNA". It matches the Rfam family "Bacterial small subunit ribosomal RNA", at positions 30 to 507 of the family's 1533-position model. The record is from RNAcentral.